RNAcentral lists this microRNA precursor (138 nucleotides) under Chlorocebus sabaeus (green monkey). Its description in RNAcentral is "miRNA (ENSCSAG00000020312.1)". Lineage: Eukaryota; Metazoa; Chordata; Mammalia; Primates; Cercopithecidae. The record is from RNAcentral.
CAACAGAAAUUUAUUUUCUCACAUUUCUGGAGGCUGGAAGUCCAAGAUCAAAGUGUUGGCAGGUUUGGUUUUUCCUGAGGCCUCACUCCCUUGGCUUGCAGACGGCCACCUUCUCACAGUGUCCCCACAUAGCCUUUU